AGUUGUACGUUGAAGCUUUCCCAACCCUAGUAUGCAAGUACCUCUGCCUCUCCAGCAACCGCUUUCUUCUCCGCGAACGUCUCCCUCACCGGUUCCGUAAUUCUAGCUUCGAAAUCACUCAUCAAAUCUAAAUCUUCCCAUAAUUCUUCAAAUCAAAAUCGAACCAGAAUCCCAAAUCAAACCAAAAUCUCAAUUAUUCUGUAAUUCUUCAAAUCGCUCAUAAAAUCAAUCCCAAAUCGAACCAGAAUCCCAAUCUUUCCUCAAACCCCAAAUAUAGCCACCUUAAACCCCAAUCUCACGGACUGCUCAAACCCUAUAGCUUCUUGGUUUUGGCUCAACCGUUGAUGCUAUAUGAUGAGUAGAAGCGGACCGUGAUUCCCCACUCACAACUGUGAAAUUCAAAGAAAAAUUAAUCGAUUCGAAAGCCUCGUUUUCGAUAGUAUUCGGUGUUGCUGCGUUCUUACUUCUUUGGUGUGUUCAGUAAACCAAGCAUGAUAAAGAAGGAUUGGGUGGAGUUGCCUCCACAUAGUCAAGGUUACAAGGAUGGUGUCAAUUACUUUUUGGAUAUUGCAUUCACCAAAGGAAAGGUUGAAGAAGAAGAGAUUUUGUGUCCUUGUGCUGUGUGUUGCAAUGAUAGUUGGGAAGUAAGAGAUGUAGUGUAUGACCAUUUAUGUAGCAAAGGAUUUGUAAAAGGAUACACUGAAUGGAUUUAUGUAUUUGCUACUAUCUUG
Long non-coding RNA from Vicia villosa (hairy vetch), 731 nucleotides. RefSeq lists it as uncharacterized. The record is from RefSeq and is a predicted model, not a curated record. NCBI's taxonomy places the organism in Eukaryota, Viridiplantae, Streptophyta, Magnoliopsida, Fabales, Fabaceae. The transcript is spliced from 4 exons.